RNAcentral lists this ribosomal RNA (489 nucleotides) under uncultured bacterium. RNAcentral's name for it is "partial 16S ribosomal RNA". It matches the Rfam family "Bacterial small subunit ribosomal RNA", at positions 30 to 507 of the family's 1533-position model. The record is from RNAcentral.
UUGAACGCUGGCGGCAGGCCUAACCCAUGCAAGUCGAACGGUAACAGGAAGCAGCUUGCUGCUUCGCUGACGAGUGGCGGACGGGUGAGUAAUGUCUGGGAAGCUGCCUGAUGGAGGGGGAUAACUACUGGAAACGGUAGCUAAUACCGCAUAAUGUCGCAAGACCAAAGAGGGGGACCUUCGGGCCUCUUGCCAUCGGAUGUGCCCAGAUGGGAUUAGCUUGUUGGUGGGGUAACGGCUCACCAAGGCGACGAUCCCUAGCUGGUCUGAGAGGAUGACCAGCCACACUGGGACUGAGACACGGUCCAGACUCCUACGGGAGGCAGCAGUGGGGAAUAUUGCACAAUGGGCGCAAGCCUGAUGCAGCCAUGCCGCGUGUAUGAAGAAGGCCUUCGGGUUGUAAAGUACUUUCAGCGGGGAGGAAGGGAGUAAAGUUAAUACCUUUGCUCAUUGACGUUACCCGCAGAAGAAGCACCGGCUAACUCCGUG